This 1342-nucleotide long non-coding RNA is filed under the name Chloebia gouldiae (Gouldian finch). RNAcentral's name for it is "Erythrura gouldiae (Gouldian finch) lncRNA (ENSEGOG00005015060.1)". Lineage: Eukaryota; Metazoa; Chordata; Aves; Passeriformes; Passeridae. The record is from RNAcentral.
AGAUGACUUUGGUCAAGAAAGAGAAAAAUGUGACAGUUGGCCACUGCAGGAAGCCAGUUCCCAGGACCUGGAUUUUAUGAAGUGUUGGAAAUAGGGAUAGUACUUUAUUUGACUGGAGACUCCUGUCCUCCUUUUGCUGCCUAUAUUGCUGUAUGUAAUUUCUGUUGUGAGAUGUGUGGAUUUGUCAUAUAUGGAAAUGAACUGGUGGUUCACGCAUUCUAAAGACAGGUUCGGGCACACGCAAACACGUUUUACUCUUUAACUUUCUCUCUCUCCCUUUCAAAAUCCCUGGACACUUGCACCACAGUGUGAAGCUACUGCUGUGGCUUAGUUCAGUUGUGCUGUUUUAUAACCUUGCUUUUGGCCAGUUACCAAUUCCCUCUGAUUUUUGCCUUAAUUGCCAGGGGGACAAAGGUGCGAUGGGAAUCCCUGGGCGGCCGGGACUAAAAGGGCAAUCUGGAGAGAAGAGAGAAAAACACCACACAGAAGGGGAAAGUAGGAUAGAGAUUCUUCAUGCUUGUGUUCACUGUUUGCUCACUGGAGCCAACCAGCAUCCAACAGACAAGAAUUUCCCACCGGAAGCCAUUCUGCUUUUUUCUCUGCGUAUCCUUGCAUUUGUUUCUGACCAAAGUUUUCAUGAAGGGACAGCAGAUAGAUACAAACAAACAAUGGAAAAAAAGUCACUCCUAAUUGCUCCUGCUGCCCCAGAGGCCUCCCUGAGAGCCCUAAGUCUUUGGCAGUCCAUAGCUUUGUUUUGCAGAGUACUUUGCUUUCUUGCAGGCUGCUUGGUUUAUGGGGUGCUCUGUCCCAAAGCUCCUCAGCCAUGGGCACUUCGGGAGCUCCCUCUCAGGAAUACACCAUGUUUCCAAAGAGAGUGGCAUGUCCUGCCCAUCACACACUGUGGGUGGCUAGGAGUUGGAGAGGCAGCUGUUUCCUUUUCCAGCAAGCACUUUGCUUUGUUUUCAUCCACGUCUCAACUGAGUUUGAGAAGUACACAAGCGAGGCAUUUCUGGAAGCAGCCAAAUAAGCUGCCUGCAGCUCCCAUUUCCCUGGAGCCCAGCACAUCCCUCUUUUUCUUUCUUCUGCAGGACGUGAGCCUCCUGGAACUCGCAGGAAGGAAACAGAAAGGGUUUCAGGCCAUCUUUCACACUUGCAAUGGGGCAGAACCUCUGUUUUGCCAGAAGGGUGCUCCAGGAGAAGCUGGCAUGUCUGUCAUUGGGCCCCGCGGUCCACCCGGACAGCCUGGAACAAGAGGUUUUCCUGGAUUCCCGGGCCCUAUUGGCUUGGAUGGCAAACCGGGGCAUCCUGGACAGAAGGGAGAGAUGGGUGCUGCAGGUCCCAG